Molecule: ribosomal RNA, 507 nt
Filed under: Triticum aestivum (bread wheat)
Lineage: Eukaryota; Viridiplantae; Streptophyta; Magnoliopsida; Poales; Poaceae
Description: partial small subunit ribosomal RNA
Source: RNAcentral
AUGGUGGCAUGCGCCGAAGGUAUCGGUGUGCCACGUGGCUCUGGGAUGUUCAGACCGAUGUUGCGUGCUGUCGCAUUCCUCAGCCAGGAGAAGAUCACCGCCAAAGUGAACUACAUGAAGAACACGUUCAGAUGGUCGGAUGCUGAGGUGGGCAUUGCUAUUUCUAAGGCUCCAACGUUGCUGACGAGGGAUAAGGAAUCGCUGCAGCACAGGUCCGAGUUCCUCAUCUCCGUGGUGGGGUUGGCACCAGCAUACAUUGCUUAUCGUCCAGCAAUGCUCAUGUACAGCUUGGAGGGCAGGAUCAGACCCCGAUACUACGUUGUAAAGUUUCUCAAGCAAAAUGGAUUGCUAGAUCACGACCGGGAUUUCUAUAAUACAGUCAUGGUCAGUGAGAAGGUAUUUAUGGAAAGGUUCAUAUGCCCUCACAAGAAAGCUGCAGCACAUCUCGCUGAAGACUAUGCCACCGCUUGUAGAGGGGAAGUGCCCGCCAGAUUCACUUUUACAUGA